UACGUAGGGGGCAAGCGUUGUCCGGAUUUAUUGGGCGUAAAGAGCGUGUAGGCGGCCAGGUAGGUCCGUUGUGAAAACUCGAGGCUCAACCUCGAGACGUCGAUGGAAACCAUCUGGCUAGAGUCCGGAAGAGGAGAGUGGAAUUCCUGGUGUAGCGGUGAAAUGCGCAGAUAUCAGGAAGAACACCAGUGGCGAAGGCGGCUCACUGGCCCGAUACUGACGCUGAGGCACGAAAGCGUGGGGAGCAAACAGG
Molecule: ribosomal RNA, 253 nt
Filed under: uncultured bacterium
Lineage: Bacteria
Description: partial 16S ribosomal RNA
Rfam family: Bacterial small subunit ribosomal RNA
Source: RNAcentral